Hyaena hyaena (striped hyena) is the source of this 251-nucleotide long non-coding RNA. RefSeq lists it as uncharacterized. The record is from RefSeq and is a predicted model, not a curated record. The transcript is spliced from 3 exons. Lineage: Eukaryota; Metazoa; Chordata; Mammalia; Carnivora; Hyaenidae.
CAAACGGGGAAGUGUGACAGAUAGGAAGCUGGAAUGGAAAAAGAAAGUUGUCUCAAGAGACUUGUUGGCAUUUUCAAGGAAAUCUGACCAUUGGAUGUGGGGAAGACUAAGGUGACCCAACUGCUCUCACAUGCUUUGAGCAAUUCAGUUUCUUCUGUAGAUAUCCAUGUAUGGAUCUUAACCUACUAUCAUUGGGAACCACAGAAAAAGAUGGAUGGGAUGUCAUUUGAGGAGUGUGAGGUUUUGACAGA